GAUGAACGCUGGCGGCGUGCCUAAUACAUGCAAGUCGAGCGAACAGAUGAGGAGCUUGCUCCUCUGACGUUAGCGGCGGACGGGUGAGUAACACGUGGAUAACCUACCUAUAAGACUGGGAUAACUUCGGGAAACCGGAGCUAAUACCGGAUAAUAUAUUGAACCGCAUGGUUCAAUAGUGAAAGACGGUUUUGCUGUCACUUAUAGAUGGAUCCGCGCCGCAUUAGCUAGUUGGUAAGGUAACGGCUUACCAAGGCAACGAUGCGUAGCCGACCUGAGAGGGUGAUCGGCAACACUGGAACUGAGACACGGUCCAGACUCCUACGGGAGGCAGCAGUAGGGAAUCUUCCGCAAUGGGCGAAAGCCUGACGGAGCAACGCCGCGUGAGUGAUGAAGGUCUUCGGAUCGUAAAACUCUGUUAUUAGGGAAGAACAAAUGUGUAGUAACUAUGCACGUCUUGACGGUACCUAAUCAGAAAGCCACGGCUAACUACGUG
This 496-nucleotide ribosomal RNA is filed under the name uncultured bacterium. RNAcentral describes it as "partial 16S ribosomal RNA". It matches the Rfam family "Bacterial small subunit ribosomal RNA", at positions 28 to 507 of the family's 1533-position model. The record is from RNAcentral.